GAUAUUGGAUGUUAACGAAUUAUCUAGAAACCAACUAUAAAUAUAGUUAUCCAAAUUUGUCCUGCUACUGUCAAUUUCGAUAGGGAUUCAAAAAAAUGAAGCCCUUCUAUAUUCAUCUGUAAUUAUGAAUUGAAUCUUGAUGAAUGACUAACGAAAUUGAAUCAAGAAAAUUCUAAAAGAAAAGAAUGGUUCCAAAAUUUUAUUUUAAGGGAAGAUAAGAACAAAAGUUGUAUGGAUUUACAAAAACUAUGGGAAUAGAAAAAUAGAGAAAUAUCGAAGUAGCUCCAACAGUUCAAUAAAUAUUCUUUCUUUAUUUUUUUCUUCAUUUUUUUCCUCAAUUAUUUCGACUGAAUAAAUCUUUAUUAUUAAUUGAAAAAUUCAAGUCAAAAUUGGUUGCUUGUAUCAUUAACCAUUUCCCCUUUUUUGGAUGAGAGGAACUUAUCAUGAAUCCACUAAUUGCUGCUGCUUCCGUUGUUGCUGCUGGGUUGGCUGUAGGGCUUGCUUCUAUUGGACCUGGGGUUGGCCAAGGCACU
RNAcentral lists this long non-coding RNA (533 nucleotides) under Arachis ipaensis. Its description in RNAcentral is "long non-coding RNA (AIPA_LNC001497)". Lineage: Eukaryota; Viridiplantae; Streptophyta; Magnoliopsida; Fabales; Fabaceae. The record is from RNAcentral.